AAAAUGAAUGGAGAGUUUGUCAGAAGAAAAGAAGAUUAAAAAAGGGCAACGUUCAGCUUAAAUUCUGGAAAAGUUGCGGCUACAUCUUGUCACAAUAAUGUUGGCUAUCUUCAAGAGGCAAUGGACGGCCUAUAAAUAAGACCACAAGAAGCCGCGUCUGGGGGGCGGAGAAAAAGAAAAAAGACACAAAGUCUUCUUCUUCCUUGCGCAGCAUCUUCGUGGAACCCUGCAACCGUCCGAGCUUCCCCCUUUACCUGAGCGACCAGCAGCUCGUCGUCCUGACCACCACGCUUCCUCCGCGAGCCGCCGUCUGCAACCCUCCGCCCGAGCACCGGUGCCACAGCAGCUCGCCGUGCUCUUCCCGCAACCUCUGUGCCGCACCACCGAGUCCGCUCGCCGCUCCGCCAUCCACAGCACCCGCGUACCCGUUUUGGCAGAUUUGCCUCUCGGCCGGUCCCGCUUCUGCCAGAGCUGCAACCCGAAACCGGCGCCCCUCCUCCGUCCAGAUCUGCUCAGCGCUUCAGCUCGAGCUUGAAGCCGGUCGCUGCACCCCGUUAAUCGAGCGACCAACUGAGCCGCUUCCACCGCACCAAAUCCGGACGCCGACACCCAGCAGUACCACCAGAUCCCGACGCCGGCAGAUCUGAACCGUCGGCGAGCAUCCGCGUUUGCGCCCGUCCCCGACGCCCGCUUCAGCAGAUCCCGAAUCCUUUCUCUCCGAGCGACGACCGCCCCUACUCUGACCACGAUCUGCCAGACCCAGCGCCCGAAGGCUCUGCCGCGCCUCCGUCUGCUACCCCCGCGUUGGCUGCGGCUGCUCCAGAGCUGCCCGUUGCAACAACCCGCGACGCCAGCCCACGCCGGUCGCUGCGCCUCCUCGGCCUGCAGCAACUCGCGACGACGACGCCGCAGUAGCUCUCAACCGCAAGCCGGCCGUCGCCACUCUUUGCCCUCUGCCCGAGCAUCGACGCCACUGCAGCCCGCGCCUGAGGUCUUCCAACCGCGACGCCCCUCGCCGGUACCCCGCGCCGGAGCUCCGACGACUCUGCCCUGCCUCCAGCCCUAGCCGACCCGCGACGCCAGCCCGCGCCGAUCCCCGAAGCUCCUGUUGCUGUUCCGCCGUCGCGCCACUCCGACGGUGACCCCCACCAAAAGCCGCACGAGCCCAAGCUGUGCGUGGGAAAGGAAAAGAUAAAAAAACAUAAGGGGAAC
This 1212-nucleotide long non-coding RNA is filed under the name Eucalyptus grandis. Its description in RNAcentral is "long non-coding RNA (EGRA_LNC001544)". The record is from RNAcentral. Lineage: Eukaryota; Viridiplantae; Streptophyta; Magnoliopsida; Myrtales; Myrtaceae.